Molecule: small RNA, 268 nt
Filed under: Arabidopsis thaliana (thale cress)
Lineage: Eukaryota; Viridiplantae; Streptophyta; Magnoliopsida; Brassicales; Brassicaceae
Description: ATSL166870
Source: RNAcentral
UUGGUUGCAUUUCAUUAUACUGAAAGAAACAGGGAAGAGUCCCAUCAAGCUUGCAAGAAGCUAGCGUACUUGGCACCCAGGAGAAGCCUCUGAAUGCACAAGAUAGCGUUCUUGGUCACCUCAGCGUUCUCGUGGUUUAUCAGCUUCAUCACUCGCUCUUUUGCCUUGAGGUCUGCUACAAUCACUCUCCCCGCUGCAUGGUAUUGUAUGAACUGUGAGAUAUCAAAGCAUGCCACCGCCAAUGAUCUGGGAUCACUUGAGGUGUCCA